RNAcentral lists this ribosomal RNA (231 nucleotides) under uncultured bacterium. Its description in RNAcentral is "partial 16S ribosomal RNA". It matches the Rfam family "Bacterial small subunit ribosomal RNA", at positions 524 to 753 of the family's 1533-position model. The record is from RNAcentral.
UACGUAGGGUGCGAGCGUUUAAUCGGAAUACUGGCGUAAAGCGUGCGCAGGCGGUUAUGUAAGACAGUUGUGAAAUCCCCGGGCUCAACCUGGGAAUUGCAUCUGUGACUGCAUAGCUAGAGUACGGGUAGAGGGGGAUGGAAUUCCGCGUGUAGCAGUGAAAUGCGUAGAGAUGCGGAGGAACACCGAUGGCGAAGGCAGCCCCCUGGGCUAACACUGACGCUCGAGGCA